UCAAAACAUGUUCAUAUAACAAUAAUAGAAUCAAGUAUGAUCAAAACAUCUAAUUUACAUCAAAGUAAAGUAAAAUGCGGAACAACGUGGUAUGUGCAAUGCGAUCAUCCCGAGAUUUUCCCCUUGGAUCCAGAAGUACCUGAAACAUAAACUGAAAACCGUAAGCACGACGCUUAGUGAGUUCCUCAAAAUACCACAUAGCAUACAUAUCAAACAUAUAAUGGGCCCCACCUGGCAUCGACCCCCGCUCGAAACAGAUCUCUUAGUAAUAUGAGAUGGGCCCCACCACAUCACAUUCAUGAGGCCCCGCCUGGCAUCUGGCCCUGCGGGGUAUAUAUACAAACACAUAAACACAUGCAAGAAUCACAAAGAUAAAUAGCAUACAAUAUAGUCAUCAGGCCUCACCUUGUAUCAGCCCCCACCCGGUAUACAUAUAAACACAUAACACAUGUAAGAGUCACGCAGACAACUGGCAUCCUAAUCAUAACAAACCAUGGGUCGGACUGUUGAUCCGGAAAAAUCCCAACGCUGACACCACAAAAUAAUAUCCAAUCAAUAAUUGGGUUACAACCCAAAACUAGAAUCCUAGUCUGAUUAUCCAACACUCUGGGUAAAAGACCAUUUUACCCCCUCCUAAUGUAACGCCCCAAAUUACAACCCAAAAUUUUCUAUUAAAGUUUUUAGUAUUUAUUUAAAUCACAAAUGCAAUAUCUUAAAACAUUUAUUAAGAGUAACAUUAAAAGUUAUCAAGUACACAAGUCCCCCAUUGAUGCAAUGCAAUCGUCAGCACAAAGCUUAGUGAGUUCCCCAAAAUACCACAUACAACACAUCAUAAAUAGACAGCUAUAGGUUAUCAACAACCCUGGAGACUAUCAGCAGUCCCAGUGGCAAAUAGCAUGCUCGAUGGGUUAUCAAUAACCCUGGAGACUAUCAUGACGAGUUUUAUAUAUAGCAAACAAUCCUAUGUGUGCUUGCAACCCUAAUCGAAGGAUCUAUGUUUUCUCUAUUAGACAUAAAAGCAUUAAACACAAAUCUAGAACCCUAAGAGGCAUGUAUAAUUUUUGAAAUCAACAUAAACUAGGGUUUAAAUACAUACCUUGAUUUAUUAUGUAGUAAUAACAAUAAUCCUUGUAGAUCUUGAACUCUUGAGAGCAAGUGCCUCAAAUGUGACACAUCUAAUGGCUUACAAGCACUCUAUACAAGAGGAUGAGAGGAGAGAGGAUGAGAAGGAACAUGAAUUCGUCUCUAUUAGGGUUUGAUGGCAUAGGGGACAAAAUGCUAAGGGGUGAGGCUCUUUAUAUAGCUCUUGGUUGCUUAGUCCCAAAGCUAGGGUUUGCUGGAGAAAACCCUAAUUUCCAGCUUAGGCCCCAAGCAGCCCAUGGACUCCUUAUCAAAGAGCCUUGGACAAAAACUUAUAGGGCUUCCCUAUAAUUUCCAUCCACUCCUUUCCAAGGGGUUCAAUAGCCCAGUUUCACAACUAUCAAUAAAUUGCAAAAUAGCCCUUGCAUAUUCAAUCAGUUCCUUUAAUCCCAAAAUUAAUUCCAAAACUGAAAAUCGUAAGCAUGACUCCUUUCCUUAGAAAACAAAGUAUCUGAAACCAAAACUGAAAAUCGUAAGCACGAAGCUUAGUGAUUUCCCCCAUCAUACUACAUACUAUACCAAACACAUACUGUUAGACAAUUCUAUGGUGCCCAACCUACCCUACCAGGCAAUUCUAGGGUGCCCGACCUACCCAUGUCAGGCAAUUCUAGGGUGCUCGACCUACCUUGUCAGGCCAUUCUACGGUGCCCGACCUACCCAUGUCAAGCAUUUAUAGGGUGCUCGACCCACCCUGUCAGGCCAUUCUGGGGUGCCUGACCUAUCCUCCGGUUUAUCUCAACCGGCUACGAGGACUAUUUCACCCUUACCACUACCACAUACCAACAUAACAAAAACAUAUUGUCAGGCAUAUCUGGGGAGCCCAACCUACCAUUCGGUCCUAACGACCGUAACACUGGAACUACUCCCCUCCUACUAUCACUUGACAGAUAGCGACAUACCAGCCAAUAAUCACAAAGACAAUCAUCUCAACUAUAAUCAACUACUACUGGACCGACAUUGGUGCCUUCGACCCACUUCUAUUAGAAGGUAACUCACCUGAAAUAUUGAACUGCAUAAUAAACCAUUGAAGUGGCUAAGAUGGGUUUCCAGCUCUAUGGUCACCUAUAAACAUAUUAAUAAAAUUUUGUUUAGCUUACAUUUCAAGUACUAGUUAUUAAUAUUCCUUAAUAUUCUUUUUAUUCACAUCUACUAUUAAAUCGACAACGAUCACUUCUAAAAUCAUUCUUGCUAAAAUGUUAUACUUAAAAUGUGAUCUUCUAUAUACAAUAUCAUCUCAUCAAAUAAGUUACAAUUAAAUUCCUUCUUUAUUUAUAAAUAGCUACCGUAUGCCAAAGUCCACAAAACUAUGUGAGUUGAUUAAUUUAAUUACCAACUCAUUUAUCAUAAUAGUAAUUUAACAAUAAAUUAUGAUUAGCUAAAGACAAUGCCCAAAUCAGCCCAUAUUAGAAGUUGAUUUGCAUAAACUUGUUUUUAGUUGGAGCUAAUAGACUUAAACCCAAUUACUUAAGUCCAUAAGAAAAUAAACGGUCCAAUACAUAUAAUUUUAACCUAAUGUGACAAACUCAAAAUUGCGUAUACCUUCUUCCUGUAAGACACGCAAUGAGACCUCCCACACCAGACAAUCGAUCGAUGACGUCUUGCCCUAUGGCGAAGCUUUCGUUUCCAGCGAUGCCCUUUUCUCUGUCGAUGCCAACUAGCCCCAACAAUCACCCAAAACUUCAAACACAGUUUAAGUUGGACAUGAAUUUCAUAGCUACCCCUUUUCUUUUCUCCGCUGCUUCAUCUCUCUAAUCCUUGUCGUGAUAAGCUCACUGGAGACUGCAAUCGAUAGCUCUGCCUUACAUCUUGUUCAUCGGAAAGUAUACUUGGACAGGACAGCUCUGCUUCCAGGAAUAGCCAAAGAAACGAUCAGCAGUCCCAUCGAAAUGAAUUGAACAAUAAGUUUCUCAUCGGAGCUUGUAAUUCACUGUCGGCUUAACUCCACAUAUCAAAAUCCCUCCUAGAUGUCUUCUGGUGAAAUCCCAACGGGUCCAUCAGCGAGAGCCGGUGCUUCUUCAUUUCUCUCUCUUCCUUUACUCUUAUUUCUAGAUCCAAGAAUCAGGAUCACAAGAGGAUAACCUUCGAUGAUUGAAAGAACUCAACUUAUAUCUCCUUGUCCAAUUGUUACCUUUCUCGAAUUUUCUCCGACUCUCAUUCCAGAUGCACACAAAACACACUCACACCCACACUACUAUUUAAAUUGAGGGUGAUUCUUUGUAUUUAGAACGAUCAAGUGCAGCAACAAAAAUGAGAGAACAACUCCCUCCCUCACGCUAUGUCGCUAACAGGGGACAAAAAUGUCCAAUUUAGCAGAUAGGCACAAACAGUCCCUAUGGUUUGGUCACUUGAAAAGAUAUAACCCCACAGCCUUAAAUUCAAUUCAAUAUAAGUUUCAAAAAAAGACUAUAAGACCCUCCUAACUCCAUUCAUCAAGGUUAUCAUAAAUAUGUCAUUAUUAUUAUUACUCAUGGUUGCAGAAAUCGCUAAGCGGCCGCUAAUCGAUGGACUAGCGAUUAGGGAUUAAUCGGCUAGGCGGGGAUUAAUCGGGAGAUUAAUC
This 3697-nucleotide long non-coding RNA is filed under the name Lactuca sativa (garden lettuce). RNAcentral describes it as "long non-coding RNA (LSAT_LNC008301)". Lineage: Eukaryota; Viridiplantae; Streptophyta; Magnoliopsida; Asterales; Asteraceae. The record is from RNAcentral.